AGGGAGGGAAGGAAGAGAGUUGGGGGCGUUAAGACACCCAAGUCAAACACACAGGCUCCUGACUGCACUGUUAAUGUCUCUCCUGUCUUGUCUAAAUAGCUGCUUUCUGGUCAUAUAUGGAAGAGUUUUCGCUUUUUUUUUUUUUUUUCCCUCUAGGUCAAUUUUAGGACUGUGCAGUUUACAGUGUAAGUUAAAGACAAAAAAAUUAAAAAAAAAAAAAAAGCUGCUUGGCACUAGCCGAGGGUUGUCCUUCGUAGUUUGUAGUACAAAGCAAUCUCCUAUGGCAUGCAGUUCGAGCAGAGGAGGGAGGAGGGAGCACGAGCGGUGCCAAGACAAUGCACAACCACUCUGUGGACAUCUGCCAUGUAGAGCCAGCUGCGGCUGGGACUUUGGUCGGAGCUGCCAACAUGUGAAAACUGCAUCGAGGGAUAGAAGGGAUAUCCGAAGACAUGGAAAUGUGCUCUUGCACUUGCAUGAUAUCAAAGAGUCAUACAGCUUUCUGUCAUGGAAAGCUUCCUCAAAGAUCUGAGGAGAGAGUUAUGAAGAUUUACAGG
RNAcentral lists this long non-coding RNA (554 nucleotides) under Anas platyrhynchos platyrhynchos (common mallard). RNAcentral's name for it is "lncRNA (ENSAPLG00000026737.1)". Lineage: Eukaryota; Metazoa; Chordata; Aves; Anseriformes; Anatidae. The record is from RNAcentral.